Molecule: long non-coding RNA, 1056 nt
Filed under: Vulpes vulpes (red fox)
Lineage: Eukaryota; Metazoa; Chordata; Mammalia; Carnivora; Canidae
Description: lncRNA (ENSVVUG00000014843.1)
Source: RNAcentral
ACCCCUGCCAGCACACCCCCAAGCCGAGGCCAGUCUGCACCCCAGGGUGCCGAACUGACCCCUCAAGGCCCGGCCCCGCCCCUUCCGGCCCCACCCACUUCCGGCUGCCCGCUGGGCCGGGCACGCUGACUCCGCCCCUUCCGGCCGCCGGCCCCGCCCCCUCCCCGCUACGGGGGCGACUGGGGAAGCUUCAGCACCGACUCGGUGUCGUUAAAAAGCAGGCCCGGCGGCCAGGUUGGUACAGUGCGACCUGGUAAAAUGCGCGGGAACUUAAGGCCGGACCGUGCUUCUGAAACACGUUUUGCGUUUCUCGCGCAAUGAAGUCCUGCUGAGGGGCCCACACGGAGCUGCCGACCUAGCGUCCGAGCCGCCCUGCCCGGUCCCACCCCCCGGGUCCCACCUCCCCGGUCCCACCUGCGCCGCCCCGCUGUGCUGUGCCUGGGGAGGGCAAGCGCUCGCCCGAAGGCCCACGGCGCCCCCGCUCUGGCCGCUGAAUGGCGUCACCUCCCAGGGCCCGGUGCCCUCCCACCCUCCCGCAGGGGUGCUGGAGAGCAAGGGGAGCAUGAAGCAUCCCGGGGGGGGGGGGGGGGGGGGGGGCGGCACCCGGUAUGCGCAACAGCUGAGAUGACUGCACCGGACAGGAAGCCCAGGCCAACGCGGGCCCUGCCCCAUCCACCACCCCCUGCUCCUUCUUCCCAGAGACCCUCCCUCGACCCAAAAGCAGCAGCCAAACCAAGAGCUGCCAUUUCUAAGAGCCUACUCUGUGCCAGGCAAUGUGCGGGGCAUACCCAUCUCCACCCAUCCCCAAAACCUCUAAAACACAGAGCAGUGUCUUUCCCACUUGACACCUUUGAAAGAGCUGAAGUCACUCGCCCGAUGUCCACAGCUUGUAAGCGGCAGAGUCAGGACUCGAACGCAGGUCUGUCUGGCUCUAAGGCCACUUCCCAGCUUGCCCAAGGAACUGGGCAAACAAGCAAACAGGAGCACUUCAAUUAUUUGUCCAACAGCCAUGGAACACCAUCUAAAGAAAUAUCUACUACCAGUUUACUGGGCUAG